GACGGGUAGCCGGCCUGAGAGGGCGACCGGCCACACUGGGACUGAGACACGGCCCAGACUCCUACGGGAGGCAGCAGUGGGGAAUAUUGCACAAUGGGCGAAAGCCUGAUGCAGCGACGCCGCGUGAGGGAUGACGGCCUUCGGGUUGUAAACCUCUUUCAGCAGGGAAGAAGCGAAAGUGACGGUACCUGCAGAAGAAGCGCCGGCUAACUACGUGCCAGCAGCCGCGGUAAUACGUAGGGCGCAAGCGUUGUCCGGAAUUAUUGGGCGUAAAGAGCUCGUAGGCGGCUUGUCGCGUCGGUUGUGAAAGCCCGGGGCUUAACCCCGGGUCUGCAGUCGAUACGGGCAGGCUAGAGUUCGGUAGGGGAGAUCGGAAUUCCUGGUGUAGCGGUGAAAUGCGCAGAUAUCAGGAGGAACACCGGUGGCGAAGGCGGAUCUCUGGGCCGAUACUGACGCUGAGGAGCGAAAGCGUGGGGAGCGAACAGGAUUAGAUACCCUGGUAGUCCACGCCGUAAACGGUGGGCACUAGGUGUGGGCAACAUUCCACGUUGUCCGUGCCGCAGCUAACGCAUUAAGUGCCCCGCUG
This 586-nucleotide ribosomal RNA is filed under the name Streptomyces koyangensis. RNAcentral's name for it is "bacterial SSU rRNA". It matches the Rfam family "Bacterial small subunit ribosomal RNA", at positions 278 to 873 of the family's 1533-position model. Lineage: Bacteria; Bacillati; Actinomycetota; Actinomycetes; Kitasatosporales; Streptomycetaceae. The record is from RNAcentral.